CGGGGCGUAGCGCAGCCUGGUAGCGCACCUGGUUUGGGACCAGGGGGUCGCUGGUUCAAAUCCAGUCGCCCCGACUA
Molecule: transfer RNA, 77 nt
Filed under: Calditrichota bacterium
Lineage: Bacteria; Pseudomonadati; Calditrichota
Description: Calditrichaeota bacterium tRNA-Pro
Rfam family: tRNA
About the family: Transfer RNA (tRNA) molecules are approximately 80 nucleotides in length. Their secondary structure includes four short double-helical elements and three loops (D, anti-codon, and T loops). Further hydrogen bonds mediate the characteristic L-shaped molecular structure. tRNAs have two regions of fundamental functional importance: the anti-codon, which is responsible for specific mRNA codon recognition, and the 3' end, to which the tRNAs corresponding amino acid is attached (by aminoacyl-tRNA synthetases). tRNAs cope with the degeneracy of the genetic code in two manners: having more than one tRNA (with a specific anti-codon) for a particular amino acid; and 'wobble' base-pairing, i.e. permitting non-standard base-pairing at the 3rd anti-codon position.
Source: RNAcentral